AGAGCGAACGCUGGCGGCAGGCUUAACACAUGCAAGUCGAGCGGGCGUAGCAAUACGUCAGCGGCAGACGGGUGAGUAACACGUGGGAACGUACCUUUUGGUUCGGAACAACACAGGGAAACUUGUGCUAAUACCGAAUAAGCCCUUACGGGGAAAGAUUUAUCGCCGAAAGAUCGGCCCGCGUCUGAUUAGCUAGUUGGUGAGGUAAUGGCUCACCAAGGCGACGAUCAGUAGCUGGUCUGAGAGGAUGAUCAGCCACAUUGGGACUGAGACACGGCCCAAACUCCUACGGGAGGCAGCAGUGGGGAAUAUUGGACAAUGGGGGCAACCCUGAUCCAGCCAUGCCGCGUGAGUGAUGAAGGCCCUAGGGUUGUAAAGCUCUUUUGUGCGGGAAGAUAAUGACGGUACCGCAAGAAUAAGCCCGGCUAACUCGUGCCAGCAGCCGC
RNAcentral lists this ribosomal RNA (446 nucleotides) under uncultured bacterium. RNAcentral's name for it is "SSU rRNA". It matches the Rfam family "Bacterial small subunit ribosomal RNA", at positions 26 to 518 of the family's 1533-position model. The record is from RNAcentral.